CCUACGGGUGGCAGCAGUGGGGAAUAUUGGGCAAUGGGCGCAAGCCUGACCCAGCAACGCCGCGUGAAGGAAGAAGGCUUUCGGGUUGUAAACUUCUUUUAUGAGGGACGAAGAAAUGACGGUACCUCAGGAAUAAGCCCCGGCUAACUACGUGCCAGCAGCCGCGGUAAUACGUAGGGGGCAAGCGUUAUCCGGAUUUAUUGGGUGUAAAGGGCGCGUAGGCGGGAAUGCAAGUCAGAUGUGAAAACUAUGGGCUCAACCCAUAGCCUGCAUUUGAAACUGUGUUUCUUGAGUGCUGGAGAGGCAAGCGGAAUUCCUAGUGUAGCGGUGAAAUGCGUAGAUAUUAGGAGGAACACCAGUGGCGAAGGCGGCUUGCUGGACAGUAACUGACGCUGAGGCGCGAAAGCGUGGGGAGCAAACAGGAUUAGAUACCCGAGUAGUC
This 442-nucleotide ribosomal RNA is filed under the name Salmonella enterica subsp. enterica serovar Anatum. RNAcentral describes it as "bacterial SSU rRNA". It matches the Rfam family "Bacterial small subunit ribosomal RNA", at positions 338 to 795 of the family's 1533-position model. Lineage: Bacteria; Pseudomonadati; Pseudomonadota; Gammaproteobacteria; Enterobacterales; Enterobacteriaceae. The record is from RNAcentral.